RNAcentral lists this ribosomal RNA (253 nucleotides) under uncultured bacterium. Its description in RNAcentral is "partial 16S ribosomal RNA". It matches the Rfam family "Bacterial small subunit ribosomal RNA", at positions 524 to 776 of the family's 1533-position model. The record is from RNAcentral.
UACGGAGGGGGCUAGCGUCGUUCGGAAUUACUGGGCGUAAAGCGCACGUAGGCGGUUUAUCAAGUCAGGCGUGAAAGCCCCGGGCUCAACCCGGGAAUUGCGCUUGGUACUGGUUGACUAGAGGCCGGGAGAGGGUAGUGGAAUUCCCAGUGUAGAGGUGAAAUUCGUAGAUAUUGGGAAGAACACCGGUGGCGAAGGCGGCUACCUGGACCGGACCUGACGCUGAGGUGCGAAAGCGUGGGGAGCAAACAGG